Molecule: ribosomal RNA, 253 nt
Filed under: uncultured bacterium
Lineage: Bacteria
Description: partial 16S ribosomal RNA
Rfam family: Bacterial small subunit ribosomal RNA
Source: RNAcentral
UACAUGUGGGGCAAGCGUUGUUCGGAAUUACUGGGCAUAAAGGGUGCGUAGGCGGCUUGUUAAGUCAGGGGUGAAAGUUUUCGGCCCAACCGGAAAAUUGCCUUUGAUACUGGCGAGCUCGAGUGCGUGAGGGGUAACCGGAGCGAGUGGUGUAGCGGUGAAAUGCGUAGAUAUCACUCGGAAGGCCAAAGGCGAAGGCAGGUUACUGGUACGCAACUGACGCUGAGGCACGAAAGCGUGGGGAGCAAACAGG